AGCAGCCGCGGUAAUUCCAGCUCCAAUAGCGUAUAUUAAAGUUGUUGCAGUUAAAAAGCUCGUAGUUGAAUUUCGGGAUCAAUACGUCGGUCGUGCUUCGGUACGUACUGGCGUCAUUGGUUUCUCCCUUCUGACGAACCAUGAUGUCAUUAACUUGGUGUCAUGGGAAAUCAGGACUGUUACUUUGAAAAAAUUAGAGUGUUUAAAGCAGGCUCACGCUUGAAUACAUUAGCAUGGAAUAAUGAAAUAGGACGUUCGAUCCUAUUUUGUUGGUUUCUAGGAUUGACGUAAUGAUUAAUAGGGAUAGUUGGGGGCAUUAGUAUUCAAUUGUCAGAGGUGAAAUUCUUGGAUUUAUUGAAGACUAACUACUGCGAAAGCAUUUGCCAAGGAUGUUUUCAUUAAUCAAGAACGAAAGUUAGGGGAUCGAAGACGAUCAGAUACCGUCGUAGU
This 450-nucleotide ribosomal RNA is filed under the name uncultured Glomeromycotina. RNAcentral's name for it is "SSU rRNA". It matches the Rfam family "Eukaryotic small subunit ribosomal RNA", at positions 569 to 1024 of the family's 1831-position model. The record is from RNAcentral. Lineage: Eukaryota; Fungi; Glomeromycota.